Molecule: long non-coding RNA, 3338 nt
Filed under: Solanum lycopersicum (tomato)
Lineage: Eukaryota; Viridiplantae; Streptophyta; Magnoliopsida; Solanales; Solanaceae
Description: long non-coding RNA (SLYC_LNC000445)
Source: RNAcentral
AUCUUCUCCUCUCUACAAUAUUUUCUUUUCCGCUUCCACCCCAAUUUUUUUUUAUAACUUAUACCUCUUUAAUUAUAUAAAUUCUAUUCUUAAAUUAGUAUUAAUAAUAUUCAUAACUCUCAAACCUUUCAUAUUCAUAACCUCUUAAACCUUUUAUAUUCAUAACUUCUAAUUAUUUAAUGUGAAAGGUUAUAUUAACACUAUAAAAUCACACUAAAAUUGUAUUUGUAGUCAUCUCUGGUAGAGAAUUAGUGGAAGAAAUGUUGCAAUAGUUGUAAGCUUUGAGGUGCAUUAUUUUUUCAAAUAUUAUUUCAUAUAUUACUUUUAAUUAGCAAAUAAGACUAAUAUGUCAUCAUAUUUUUAUUUCUUCUAGAUAAAUUAUUUUGUUUUGUUAUCUUUGAGAUUUAUUUUAUGACUAAUAAUGUAUUUGUUUUGAUUUUUCUUGACUCUUGUAUAUAUGAUGAAAUGAUAACAUCAAGCGAUGAAAAUAAGUGGAUUUGAGUUAAAUAUAUUGAUUAUUUGUCCAAAAUGAUUAUGUAGGAGAAUUUAUGAUUAAAUGUAAUUUUUCCUUAUUCUUUAUGAGAUAUAAUAUGUUAUUUUGUUAACUUUGAGAUUCAUCUUAGGACUAAUAAUUUAUUUGCAAUUAUUUUUCUUGACUCUUGUAUAUAGGAUAAAAUGAUAAAAUUCAGAGAUGGAGAUUAAUGAUUUUUGAGCUAUAUAGUGUUUAUUCUUUAUUUUUUUAGGUCCUUAAGAAGUAAUGUUUCUAUUAUAUUAUUUCCUUUUGAAUUAUUUUUAUUUUGUCAAAAAUGAUUAUAUGUGUUUAAAUAUAAUGUUCUCCUUAUUCUUUAUCUUUUUCUUCUUUUGGUAGAUAAUUUUUUAACUUAUUUAAUCAGAUUUGCCGAUUAUAGAAGAUAUAUCUAUAGUGAAAUACAUUAAAUCUGAGCAACGUUUGAAAAGUGUUGCCUAAAAUAUUUUUGGGAACACUUUUUAAAUGUAGCCUAAUUUUUUAACUUUUCGCAACGAUAAUAUUGGCAACACUUAUAAAGUAUACCAUUUAAUGAUAUAGACUACACUUUAUAAGCGUUGUCAUAGUAUGAAAUAAAUGGCAACAAUUAUGUAUAUAUAUGGCCACACUUUUAAAGGGUCCUAUUUUUAUAAUUGUAAAACAACAUUAUAGAAGUGUUGCCUAUAGUUUCCCUCCAACAUUUUCAAAUAUUUCACUAAAAUAUUUGAUUCCCUCCAACAUUUUCAACUCCCCCUCCUAUUAUUUUUGGCCAAAGCUGAAGAGUAGCACACAAUUUUUCUUCUCCAAAACUUUAAAUCGAAGAGUAGAAGAUGGAGAUCGAAGAAAGGACGUUGAAAACUGAAGAGAAGAGCUGAAGAUUGAAGAACUGAAGCUUAAAACAAACUUCAUCAAGCGUAAGUACCAAUUUUAUACAGCUUAAAUUCCUUUUCACUCUCUUCUAAUCAUCUAGUACUAAAAAUAGUCAAUUAAUUGAAUUUUUGUUUUGUGUUUAGAAGUAAUUGAUUAGUUUGAGAUUGUUAUUGCUGAAGAAUCGAAGAGCACUGUGAUUUCUCUGAACAUGAACUGAAGAAGACGAUUUUCCUCUCAGCUUAGUUGUUCAAGAUUGGAGAGCUGAAGAAGACGAUUUUCUUCAAAGAUUUCUGGGUAAACUGCUAUUCCAUCAGAUUUCCUUUUGAAAAUUGAAAGAAAAUGCUUCAAAAAUUUGUUUAUAUGAAAUCUGUCAAAACGCGGCUGGGUCGACGGACCUCGCGACGGGACAUCGUGGUCACGACGAGACGUCGUGAACCUCGCGACGGGCCGCCGUGGACCUCGCGACGGACUGUCGUAGUCAUGAGAGGCCGUCGUGGUCAUGACGGGCCAUGGUAUUGACGUUGAGAAUAACCUUAUCUAUGAAAAUCUACUUAUAUUUGAACCAUUCUACAUAAAGUACCUUGUAAAGUUAGAACAUGUUCUACUUAUAUCACCUUCUCGGCAUUUAGUAUUGACUUGUUUCAUGCCACUUUGGAUAGAAGAUUACUUGGAUGUGGCUAUCAUGUUCCAGUAAGUGUUAUUACAUUUGUAUUUUAAUUAGAAUUACGCAGACUUGUACUACUUUGUGAUUCUUCUUACAUCUACAUAAUCUGUAUUUUUCUUGAUAAGUUGACCUAAUGUAUGUUUUUGCUGUGAAUCCGAUUUUCAUGUCUUGAGUUCUCUAUGACUAGAUCUUUUAUAUUGUGUUUGUAUGUGAUGGGAUUUAAUCGAAUUAUUAUCCAACUCCAUCAUUAUUAAUUGUAAACUCAUUUUUUUGAUACUUUGUGAUUUCCUUUAGUGAAUUCUAUGUCCCAAAAGUUUGUGGAACUGUGAUACUUGAUCUUUCCUUGAACAAUUAUCAUGUUAUUAUUUGUAAUACUCAUGAACUGUGAUACUUGCAAGUUUCUUCUGCUGCUUUUCUGAUCUUCAUGACGAACAUGCAGGACGGACCGUCAUAGCUACGCCAGUCCGUCACGCUUUCCGUUACAGCUGAACAAGUUUGUUCUGCUACUUAUCUGAUCUUUAUGACGAACAUGCAGGACGGACCGUCAUGGCUACGACGGUCCGUCACGAUUUCCGUUACAGCUGAAAUUUCAAAUUGAUUAAUUGUUAAAUUUCUUAAUUUUGUGUUCUUUCUUGAUGGAACAGAUUUGUUUACUAGAGGAAUUGAUAUUCAAGCAGUUAACGUUGUUUUGUUAGUUUGCGUGCAUCAUGGUUAUUGUAUAACACCAAAUAUUUUAUAUUGUUUCUUAUGAAGUUUGAACCCUAAUGCAAUAUCUUAUUUGUGUAGGGAAAUGGAGGUGAUCAAAUUUGAAGUGGAUGAUGAAGAGUUUUUGAACUAUUGUAAAAGUUUAAAUACAUAUUUGAUUUAUUGUGUACACAUUUAGAAUAUUGAUGUAUAAGUAUGGGUAUGUACACAAUACAUACUAUCUUUUGGUUGUACAUGAAAUAUUUCUCGAUGUUUAUUUGAAAUAUAUAGCUUCAAUUUGAUGAUUAAUUAGUUCAUUUUGUGUUUUAGGUCACUUGUAUGUAUGUAAAUAUAUUAUAUAUAUUUGUGCUACAUGUAGGCUUAUAAAUGUUGAAGUUACACUUUGUAAGUGUUGCUCUAGGUAGAUAAAAAGUUACACUUUGAAAGUGUUGCAAUAGAUGACCAAUAAAAGGCAACGCUUUUAAGUGUAGUCUAAAAAAAAUAGGUGUUGCUAAUGCACGUCUUCAAAGCGUGCCCUUAUACCUAUUUGGCUACGCUUUAUAAGUGUUGCCAAAGAUGGCAACAUUUAAAAAGUGUUGCCUAAUGUCAAAGGUU